UCUGGCUCAGGAUGAACGCUAGCUACAGGCUUAACACAUGCAAGUCGAGGGGCAGCAUGAUCUGUGCUUGCACAGUUGAUGGCGACCGGCGCACGGGUGAGUAACGCGUAUCCAACCUUCCCCGCAGUAGGGCAUAGCCCGGCGAAAGUCGGAUUAAUACCCUAUGUUAUCCGACGAUGACAUCUGAAUUGGAUCAAAGGUUUACCGCUGUGGGAUGGGGGAUGCGUCCGAUUAGGUAGUCGGCGGGGUAACGGCCCACCGAGCCUUCGAUCGGUAGGGGUUCUGAGAGGAAGGUCCCCCACACUGGUACUGAGACACGGACCAGACUCCUACGGGAGGCAGCAGUGAGGAAUAUUGGUCAAUGGGCGUAAGCCUGAACCAGCCAAGUAGCGUGCAGGAACCGACGGCCCUAUGGGUUGUAAACUGCUUUUAUGCGGGGAUAAAGUGCAGCACGUGUGCUGUUUUGUAGGUACCGCAUGAAUAAGGGCCGGCUAAUUCCGUGCCAGCCGCUGC
Molecule: ribosomal RNA, 513 nt
Filed under: uncultured bacterium
Lineage: Bacteria
Description: bacterial SSU rRNA
Rfam family: Bacterial small subunit ribosomal RNA
Source: RNAcentral